GCCUGGCUAGCUCAGUUGGUAGAGCAUGUGACUCUUGAUCUUGGUAUUGUGAGUUCGAGCACACAUUAGGUA
RNAcentral lists this transfer RNA (72 nucleotides) under Felis catus (domestic cat). It matches the Rfam family "tRNA". Rfam says of the family: Transfer RNA (tRNA) molecules are approximately 80 nucleotides in length. Their secondary structure includes four short double-helical elements and three loops (D, anti-codon, and T loops). Further hydrogen bonds mediate the characteristic L-shaped molecular structure. tRNAs have two regions of fundamental functional importance: the anti-codon, which is responsible for specific mRNA codon recognition, and the 3' end, to which the tRNAs corresponding amino acid is attached (by aminoacyl-tRNA synthetases). tRNAs cope with the degeneracy of the genetic code in two manners: having more than one tRNA (with a specific anti-codon) for a particular amino acid; and 'wobble' base-pairing, i.e. permitting non-standard base-pairing at the 3rd anti-codon position. Lineage: Eukaryota; Metazoa; Chordata; Mammalia; Carnivora; Felidae. The record is from Rfam by way of RNAcentral.